Molecule: ribosomal RNA, 425 nt
Filed under: uncultured bacterium
Lineage: Bacteria
Description: partial 16S ribosomal RNA
Rfam family: Bacterial small subunit ribosomal RNA
Source: RNAcentral
GUGGGGAAUCUUGCGCAAUGGGCGAAAGCCUGACGCAGCCAUGCCGCGUGAAUGAUGAAGGUCUUAGGAUUGUAAAAUUCUUUCACCGGGGACGAUAAUGACGGUACCCGGAGAAGAAGCUCCGGCUAACUUCGUGCCAGCAGACGCGGUAAUACGAAGGGGGCUAGCGUUGCUAGGAAUUACUGGGCGUAACGGGCGCGUAGGCGGACAGCUUAGUCAGAGGUGAAAGCCGAGGGCUCAACCUUGGAAUUGCCUUUGAUACUGGCUGUCUUGAGUUUGGGAGAGGUGAGUGGAACUCCGAGUGUAGAGGUGAAAUUCGUAGAUAUUCGGAAGAACACCAGUGGCGAAGGCGACUCACUGGCCCAAUACUGACGCUGAGGCGCGAAAGCGUGGGGAGCAAACAGGAGUAGAAACCCUGGUAGUCC